This 1057-nucleotide long non-coding RNA is filed under the name Hordeum vulgare. RNAcentral's name for it is "long non-coding RNA (HVUL_LNC015148)". Lineage: Eukaryota; Viridiplantae; Streptophyta; Magnoliopsida; Poales; Poaceae. The record is from RNAcentral.
UUUUUGACGGUUUAACAUAGAAAAAGAUGAAUAGUAGGAACUUAACUAAUGAAAACAGAGAAAGUUCAAUGGUAUGACUAUGAAUACCUAUAAAGCACCAGAAGUAUUAUCAAUGAACAGGGGAUACCAAAAGGAUCUAUAUUUUUUUUCCAUUUUCGUUUUCUGAGGGAGUCUAAGGAUCUGUUAUGCAAGUGACAUUUUUUAAACUAACUGCAAGUGGGCAAAAUUGAUUAACUUUGCAAGUGUAACAUGUUUUACUGUUAUAUGCAUAAAUCAGGUUCAGAUAUUUGGCACUAAAUGCAAGUGUAUCCUUUCUACCAACGAAACAGAUAAACAAGUUUAGCAUAGUAUAAACGUGUUCUUGACGGUUUAUAACAUAGAAAAAGAUGAAUAGUAAAAACAAUAAUGAAAACAGACUAAAUUCAGUGGUACGACUAUGAAUACGUACGUAUAAAGCACCAGAAGUAUUAUCAGUGAACAGGGGAUAUAAAAAGGAUCUAUAUUUUUUUUUUUCAUUUUCGUUUUUUGAGGGAGUCUAAGGAUCUGUUAUGCAAAUGUAACAUUUUUUAAACUAAUUGCAAGAGGGCAAGAUUGAAUUGAAUAACUAAUUGCAAGUCUAACAAGUUUUACUGUUAUAUGCAUAUGUCAGGUUCAGAUAUUUGGCGAUGAAAUAAAUACUAGAGCAUCAUGCCUAACCGAUAGUAAAAUGAGGGAAGUCACAGGGUUACCGAGGCAGGAGAGGGGCUUUACUUACGCGGCGGCGGUAGGAAGAGAAUGUAGAGAGAAGGUCCCAGCAGCACCCCGACACUGAGAGCAUAUUGAUGAGCCCCCAGUAUCCCAUUUGGGGGCCGUGGACGAGAACUUGCAGGCCAGACAGUAGAUUUAGCAGAACAAGGGCAGCGUAGAAAGCUAAGAGGGGGAUGGGGGGCUUCGCAAGGAAGAGAAAGCACAUGUCCAAGAGGCCACCCAAGACCCCCAGGACGUUGGAAAUCUCCCACAAGAGGGUGGUCGGGACGCUGGAUAUGAGCGCGAAGGCGCUCGAGAGGAGGUUAAAUAC